CAGCAAUGCAACCNUAGACGGCGGAUUGUGAUAAANGGUGGUGAUUAACCNUGGNUGGGGAUACCAUUAGAAUAUGGGUAUUACGAAUACGGCCAUGGCGCUGUGGCGNUAUGAAGAAAGGAGUACGGUUCCCGCCCCGGGAUGAGCCCGGUCCCAUUAGCUAGUUGGUGAGGUAAGGGCCCACCAAGGCAGUGAUGGGUAGCCGGCCUGAGAGGGUGAACGGCCACACUGGGACUGAGAUACGGCCCAGACUCCUACGGGAGGCAGCAGCUAAGAAUAUUCCGCAAUGGACGAAAGUCUGACGGAGCGACGCCGCGUGGAUGAAGAAGGCCGAAAGGUUGUAAAGUCCUUUUGUUGCAGAAGAAUAAGUGGUGGAGGGAAUGCCAUCAUGAUGACGCUAAGCAAC
This 406-nucleotide ribosomal RNA is filed under the name uncultured Treponema clone RFS85p. Its description in RNAcentral is "bacterial SSU rRNA". It matches the Rfam family "Bacterial small subunit ribosomal RNA", at positions 77 to 483 of the family's 1533-position model. The record is from RNAcentral. Lineage: Bacteria; Pseudomonadati; Spirochaetota; Spirochaetia; Treponematales; Treponemataceae.